GACGAACGCUGGCGGCGUGCUUAACACAUGCAAGUCGAACGGAAAGGCCCUGCUUGCAGGGUACUCGAGUGGCGAACGGGUGAGUAACCCGUGGGUGAUCUGCCCUGCACUUCGGGAUAAGCCGGGGAAACUGGGUCUAAUACCGGAUAGGAGCCAUUUUUAGUGUGAUGGUUGGAAAGUUUUUUCGGUGUAGGAUGAGCUCGCGGCCUAUCAGCUUGUUGGUGGGGUAAUGGCCUACCAAGGCGGCGACGGGUAGCCGGCCUGAGAGGGUGGACGGCCACAUUGGGACUGAGAUACGGCCCAGACUCCUACGGGAGGCAGCAGUGGGGAAUAUUGCACAAUGGGCGCAAGCCUGAUGCAGCGACGCCGCGUGGGGGAUGACGGCCUUCGGGUUGUAAACUCCUUUCGCUAGGGACGAAGCUUUUUGUGACGGUACCUAGAUAAGAAGCACCGGCUAACUACGUG
RNAcentral lists this ribosomal RNA (465 nucleotides) under uncultured bacterium. RNAcentral's name for it is "partial 16S ribosomal RNA". It matches the Rfam family "Bacterial small subunit ribosomal RNA", at positions 28 to 507 of the family's 1533-position model. The record is from RNAcentral.